AGGAAUAUUGGUCAAUGGGCGCAGGCCUGAACCAGCCAAGUAGCGUGAAGGAUGACUGCCCUAUGGGUUGUAAACUUCUUUUAUAAAGGAAUAAAGUCGGGUAUGUAUACCCGUUUGCAUGUACUUUAUGAAUAAGGAUCGGCUAACUCCGUGCCAGCAGCCGCGGUAAUACGGAGGAUCCGAGCGUUAUCCGGAUUUAUUGGGUUUAAAGGGAGCGUAGAUGGAUGUUUAAGUCAGUUGUGAAAGUUUGCGGCUCAACCGUAAAAUUGCAGUUGAUACUGGAUAUCUUGAGUGCAGUUGAGGCAGGCGGAAUUCGUGGUGUAGCGGUGAAAUGCUUAGAUAUCACGAAGAACUCCGAUUGCGAAGGCAGCCUGCUAAGCUGCAACUGACAUUGAGGCUCGAAAGUGUGGGUAUCAAACAGGAUUAGAUACCCUGGUAGUCCACACGGUAAACGAUGAAUACUCGCUGUUUGCGAUAUACUGCAAGCGGCCAAGCGAAAGCGUUAAGUAUUCCACCUGGGGAGUACGCCGGCAACGGUGAAACUCAAAGGAAUUGACGGGGGCCCGCACAAGCGGAGGAACAUGUGGUUUAAUUCGAUGAUACGCGAGGAACCUUACCCGGGCUUAAAUUGCAGAUGAAUUACGGUGAAAGCCGUAAGCCGCAAGGCAUCUGUGAAGGUGCUGCAUGGUUGUCGUCAGCUCGUGCCGUGAGGUGUCGGCUUAAGUGCCAUAACGAGCGCAACCCUUGUUGUCAGUUACUAACAGGUUCCGCUGAGGACUCUGACAAGACUGCCAUCGUAAGAUGUGAGGAAGGUGGGGAUGACGUCAAAUCAGCACGGCCCUUACGUCCGGGGCCACACACGUGUUACAAUGGGGGGUACAGAGGGCCGCUGUCCGGUGACGGUCGGCCAAUCCCUAAAACCCCUCUCAGUUCGGACUGGAGUCUGCAACCCGACUCCACGAAGCUGGAUUCGCUAGUAAUCGCGCAUCAGCCAUGGCGCGGUGAAUACGUUCCCG
RNAcentral lists this ribosomal RNA (1016 nucleotides) under uncultured bacterium. RNAcentral's name for it is "bacterial SSU rRNA". It matches the Rfam family "Bacterial small subunit ribosomal RNA", at positions 357 to 1376 of the family's 1533-position model. The record is from RNAcentral.